CAGCCGCCGCGGUAAUACGUAGGUGGCGAGCGUUGUCCGGAUUUACUGGGUGUAAAGGGCGCGUAGGCGGGGCGGCAAGUCCGAUGUGAAAUCCCGCGGCUCAACCGUGGAACCGCAUCGGAAACUGUCGUCCUUGAGUAUCGGAGGGGAAAGCGGAAUUCCUAGUGUAGCGGUGAAAUGCGUAGAUAUUAGGAGGAACACCGGUGGCGAAGGCGGCUUUCUGGCCGAAAACUGACGCUGAGGCGCGAAAGCGUGGGGAGCAAACAGGAUUAGAUACCCUGGUAGUCCACGCCGUAAACGAUGGAUACUAGGUGUGGGAGGUAUCGACCCCUUCCGUGCCGUCGUAAACACAUUAAGUAUCCCACCUGGGGAGUACGGCCGCAAGGCUGAAACUCAAAGGAAUUGACGGGGGCCCGCACAAGCAGUGGAGUAUGUGGUUUAAUUCGAAGCAACGCGAAGAACCUUACCGGGGCUUGACAUCCCGCGCUAUUCCGGGAAACCGGGAGUUCCCUUUUCGGGACGCGGAGACAGGAGGUGCAUGGCC
RNAcentral lists this ribosomal RNA (544 nucleotides) under uncultured archaeon. Its description in RNAcentral is "bacterial SSU rRNA". It matches the Rfam family "Bacterial small subunit ribosomal RNA", at positions 509 to 1050 of the family's 1533-position model. The record is from RNAcentral.